ACUCUGGGAUAAGCCUGGGAAACUGGGUCUAAUACCGGAUAGGAGCGCCCACCGCAUGGUGGGUGUUGGAAAGAUUUAUCGGUUUUGGAUGGACUCGCGGCCUAUCAGCUUGUUGGUGAGGUAAUGGCUCACCAAGGCGACGACGGGUAGCCGGCCUGAGAGGGUGACCGGCCACACUGGGACUGAGACACGGCCCAGACUCCUACGGGAGGCAGCAGUGGGGAAUAUUGCACAAUGGGCGCAAGCCUGAUGCAGCGACGCCGCGUGAGGGAUGACGGCCUUCGGGUUGUAAACCUCUUUCAGUAGGGAAGAAGCGAAAGUGACGGUACCUGCAGAAGAAGCACCGGCUAACUACGUGCCAGCAGCCGCGGUAAUACGUAGGGUGCGAGCGUUAUCCGGAAUUAUUGGGCGUAAAGAGCUCGUAGGCGGUUUGUCGCGUCUGUCGUGAAAGUCCGGGGCUUAACCCCGGAUCUGCGGUGGGUACGGGCAGACUAGAGUGCAGUAGGGGAGACUGGAAUUCCUGGUGUAGCGGUGGAAUGCGCAGAUAUCAGGAGGAACACCGAUGGCGAAGGCAGGUCUCUGGGCUGUAACUGACGCUGAGGAGCGAAAGCAUGGGGAGCGAACAGGAUUAGAUACCCUGGUAGUCCAUGCCGUAAACGUUGGGCACUAGGUGUGGGGACCAUUCCACGGUUUCCGCGCCGCAGCUAACGCAUUAAGUGCCCCGCCUGGGGAGUACGGCCGCAAGGCUAA
This is a ribosomal RNA of 750 nucleotides. It matches the Rfam family "Bacterial small subunit ribosomal RNA", at positions 135 to 897 of the family's 1533-position model.